GGGGCCAGGUGAGCUCUCGGUUUCAGGCACGCAGCUAUACAGUUUUAGACCGCGGCCAGCGUUGGUUAUUUUUGUUUUUUUUGUUUAGUUUGGAUAAAA
Molecule: long non-coding RNA, 99 nt
Organism: Melanotaenia boesemani (Boeseman's rainbowfish)
Lineage: Eukaryota; Metazoa; Chordata; Actinopteri; Atheriniformes; Melanotaeniidae
Exons: 3
Source: RefSeq, a predicted model, not a curated record